GAUCAUGGCUCAGGAUGAACGCUAGCUACAGGCUUAACACAUGCAAGUCGAGGGGAAACGACAUCGAAAGCUUGCUUUUGAUGGGCGUCGACCGGCGCACGGGUGAGUAACGCGUAUCCAACCUGCCCACCACUUGGGGAUAACCUUGCGAAAGUAAGACUAAUACCCAAUGAUAUCUCUAGAAGACAUCUGGAAGAGAUUAAAGAUUUACCGGUGAUGGAUGGGGAUGCGU
This 232-nucleotide ribosomal RNA is filed under the name uncultured bacterium. Its description in RNAcentral is "partial 16S ribosomal RNA". It matches the Rfam family "Bacterial small subunit ribosomal RNA", at positions 15 to 236 of the family's 1533-position model. The record is from RNAcentral.